UACGUAGGGGGCAAGCGUUAUCCGGAUUUACUGGGUGUAAAGGGAGCGUAGACGGCAGUGCAAGUCCGGAGUGAAAGCCCGGGGCUCAACCCUGGGACUGCUCUGGAAACUGUAAAGCUGGAGUGCGGGAGGGGCAGGCGGAAUUCCUGGUGUAGCGGUGAAAUGCGUAGAUAUCAGGAGGAACACCGGCAGCGAAGGCGGCCUGCUGGACCGUAACUGACGUUGAGGCUCGAAAGCGUGGGGAGCAAACAGG
Molecule: ribosomal RNA, 253 nt
Filed under: uncultured bacterium
Lineage: Bacteria
Description: partial 16S ribosomal RNA
Rfam family: Bacterial small subunit ribosomal RNA
Source: RNAcentral